GUGGGGAAUCUUGCGCAAUGGGCGAAAGCCUGACGCAGCCAUGCCGCGUGAAUGAUGAAGGUCUUAGGAUUGUAAAAUUCUUUCACCGGGGACGAUAAUGACGGUACCCGGAGAAGAAGCCCCGGCUAACUUCGUGCCAGCAGCCGCGGUAAUACGAAGGGGGCUAGCGUUGCUCGGAAUUACUGGGCGUAAAGGGAGCGUAGGCGGACUGUUUAGUCAGAGGUGAAAGCCCAGGGCUCAACCUUGGAAUUGCCUUUGAUACUGGCAGUCUUGAGUACGGAAGAGGUAUGUGGAACUCCGAGUGUAGAGGUGAAAUUCGUAGAUAUUCGGAAGAACACCAGUGGCGAAGGCGACAUACUGGUCCGUUACUGACGCUGAGGCUCGAAAGCGUGGGGAGCAAACAGG
RNAcentral lists this ribosomal RNA (405 nucleotides) under Caulobacter vibrioides. Its description in RNAcentral is "partial 16S ribosomal RNA". It matches the Rfam family "Bacterial small subunit ribosomal RNA", at positions 354 to 776 of the family's 1533-position model. Lineage: Bacteria; Pseudomonadati; Pseudomonadota; Alphaproteobacteria; Caulobacterales; Caulobacteraceae. The record is from RNAcentral. RNAcentral also lists the same sequence under 3 other names.